AAGUCGUAACAAGGUAACCGUAGGUGAACCUGCGGUUGGAUCAUUAUUGGAACGCGCUUUUUGGAGUGCAUCGACCAUGUGCAUUUUUAGUACUUGAUACGUGAUUGAGAGUGCUCGUACGUGCUCACGACAAUACAAUAAACUGAGAAGCAAAUCAAAACAACUUUUGACAACGGAUCUCUUGGCUCUC
This 190-nucleotide unclassified non-coding RNA is filed under the name fungal sp. Its description in RNAcentral is "partial internal transcribed spacer region". The stretch from base 1 to 46 matches the Rfam family "Eukaryotic small subunit ribosomal RNA", at positions 1786 to 1831 of the family's 1831-position model. The record is from RNAcentral. Lineage: Eukaryota; Fungi.